This 497-nucleotide ribosomal RNA is filed under the name uncultured bacterium. RNAcentral describes it as "partial 16S ribosomal RNA". It matches the Rfam family "Bacterial small subunit ribosomal RNA", at positions 28 to 507 of the family's 1533-position model. The record is from RNAcentral.
GAUGAACGCUGGCGGCGUGCCUAAUACAUGCAAGUCGAGCGAACGGACGAGAAGCUUGCUUUUCUGAUGUUAGCGGCGGACGAGUGAGUAACACGUGGAUAACCUACCUAUAAGACUGGGAUAACUUCGGGAAACCGGAGCUAAUACCGGAUAAUAUUUUGAACCGCAUGGUUCAAAAGUGAAAGACGGUCUUGCUGUCACUUAUAGAUGGAUCCGCGCUGCAUUAGCUAGUUGGUAAGGUAACGGCUUACCAAGGCAACGAUGCAUAGCCGACCUGAGAGGGUGAUCGGCCACACUGGAACUGAGACACGGUCCAGACUCCUACGGGAGGCAGCAGUAGGGAAUCUUCCGCAAUGGGCGAAAGCCUGACGGAGCAACGCCUCGUGAGUGAUGAAGGUCUUCGGAUCGUAAAACUCUGUUAUUAGGGAAGAACAUAUGUGUAAGUAACUGUGCACAUCUUGACGGUACCUAAUCAGAAAGCCACGGCUAACUACGUG